RNAcentral lists this ribosomal RNA (252 nucleotides) under uncultured bacterium. RNAcentral's name for it is "partial 16S ribosomal RNA". It matches the Rfam family "Bacterial small subunit ribosomal RNA", at positions 525 to 776 of the family's 1533-position model. The record is from RNAcentral.
ACGUAGGGGGCAAGCGUUGUCCGGAAUCAUUGGGCGUAAAGGGCGCGUAGGCGGAUAUUUAAGUCUGGUGUGAAAACCUAGGGCUCAACCCUGGGACUGCAUCGGAAACUGGGUAUCUUGAGGACAGGAGAGGAAAGUGGAAUUCCACGUGUAGCGGUGAAAUGCGUAGAUAUGUGGAGGAACACCAGUGGCGAAGGCGACUUUCUGGACUGUAACUGACGCUGAGGCGCGAAAGCGUGGGGAGCAAACAGG